Molecule: small nucleolar RNA, 131 nt
Filed under: Chinchilla lanigera (long-tailed chinchilla)
Lineage: Eukaryota; Metazoa; Chordata; Mammalia; Rodentia; Chinchillidae
Description: Small nucleolar RNA SNORA61 (ENSCLAG00000021521.1)
Rfam family: Small nucleolar RNA SNORA61
About the family: ACA61 is a member of the H/ACA class of snoRNA that guide the sites of modification of uridines to pseudouridines.
Source: Rfam by way of RNAcentral
GCUCCCCAAAUCCCUUUCCCAUUGGAUCUGAACACUGGUCUUGGUGGUUGGAAAGGAGGAAAAGUAAUGUUGAAGCUGGUCUCACAGCUGUAUAGUCUGGUAUGUAGUGUGUGUGCUAGUUUCAAAGAGGG